GAUGAAGAACGCAGCGAAAUGCGAUAAGUAAUGUGAAUUGCAGAAUUCAGUGAAUCAUCGAAUCUUUGAACGCACCUUGCACCCUUUGGCAUUCCGAAGGGUAUGCUCGUUUGAGUGUCAUUGUACUCUCACACUCUCCGAUCCUAUGGAUUCGGGGAGCGGUGGACUUGGGUGUUGCUGCCUUUCCUUGUGGCUCACCUCAAAUGUGUCAGUGCACCUCUUGGUUGGACAUAGUACGGCGUGAUAAGUGUCUUCGCCGGCACCUCGCAAGAGGGUGGCCGAUCGGGAGCUCUGUGCUUUCAAACCGUCUUCGGACAAUUUCUGACAACUUGACCUCAAAGCGAGUAGGACUACCCGCUGAACUUAAGCAUAUCAAUAAGCGGAGGA
This 387-nucleotide unclassified non-coding RNA is filed under the name soil metagenome. Its description in RNAcentral is "partial contains 5.8S ribosomal RNA, internal transcribed spacer 2, and large subunit ribosomal RNA". The stretch from base 1 to 120 matches the Rfam family "5.8S ribosomal RNA", at positions 35 to 154 of the family's 154-position model. The record is from RNAcentral.